UUCAGAGGAAACACAAACUGGACAUGUUUUUAACUUGUCGUAGUGAAGGCAUUUUUGGCUCCACAGACACAGAAGUUGUAUCAACGUGUUCAGCCGGGUCUUGUGGUUCUCACAAGCUCAUUAUCAUGAAGAUAGCAGUUACAGAGGAUGAGAAAUAUGACGUUGUUUGGGCAUUACGUUCUCAGCCUCAAGCCUCCUUUCUCCUGCUGUUGUUAAGCAUCUAUCGUCACCAUGGCAACCAAAGGGAGCACCUGGAGACACACAGCUGGCUGGAAAGCUGCUUCUAACAGCCAUAUGAGACACAUGAAGCCAGGCUCAGUACACAGAGUACUGGGGGUGACAUUUAAAACCCUUCAAUAGCGUUAUUUGACGAAAUUUGUCAUCUAUCUCUUCGCACAAACCUUGAGCUACAGAAACCAUCCAGGGCUUAAUAAAUUCAGCUCAUUGAGGACAUUAUGGGGUCAAAUCAGGAUUUUUUUUCAUUUACAUUGUCCCCAUUUUUCAAUCAUUCAUUGAAAAUGCAUUAUUUAGUUCUUCAAACUAAUUUAUUUCCUUCAAACUGAUUUAAACCGUUUUGAUUCUUCAAACCUCUUUUUCUUCCAGAUUUGUAACCUUUUAAUUCUCCAGUUUUAAAUAUUUUUUACUCUUAAUACAUUAUUCAGUUCUUUCAAACAAAUUCCAACUCAUUUACACUGAUUCAAAACUUAUUGGUUCUUCAAGCCUUUCCCAUACUUCAGGGUUUUUAAUCAUUUUAAUUUUCAGAUGUUGAAUUUUCUAAAAUUGUUAUUCAUGCAUUAUUCAAUUCAUUCAAUUGAGUUUAUUCCAAUUGAUUCAAAUCUUCCUGAUUCUUCAUACCUUUUGACCUUUCACAUAUUUUAAAAUUCAGCC
Non-coding RNA from Xyrichtys novacula (pearly razorfish), 888 nucleotides. Lineage: Eukaryota; Metazoa; Chordata; Actinopteri; Labriformes; Labridae. The record is from the annotation of a GenBank genome assembly.